Molecule: RNA transcript, 2832 nt
Organism: Populus nigra (black poplar)
Lineage: Eukaryota; Viridiplantae; Streptophyta; Magnoliopsida; Malpighiales; Salicaceae
Gene name: WRKY transcription factor 44-like
Exons: 11
Source: RefSeq, a predicted model, not a curated record
AAUAUAUGAGUAAUAAAAAGUUGGUUGGGAUUCCCCGCAUUUUCCUUCCUGCAACAACUUCUUCUUGUGCCCAAAUUGCCACACAGUGUACUUGCAGAAGAAACAAAUUAACCCCCCUCCCUCUCUCAUAGCUUUCUAAUAAGGGAACUGUUCAUUGUGUUCAACUACCUUGUUAGCUAGCUAUUCAAAAACUAGACAGAAAAUUGUGCUUUUAGCCGAGUAAAAGUGGUAGAAUAAGAAGACAAGGCGAUUAUACUAGAUCUCUAGUAAUAUAAGCUGAAAGAAUAACUGUUCAUGUGUUGAAUUGUGUAGAAGAUUUCUUGUUUCCAAGGGUUAUAGAUUGAAUAAUGUUAUGAACUGAGAUAGUAGUAAAUGAGAUCUUGUGGAAGCAUAGAAAUUCCUUACUAGCUCUUACUUUUUCCCUUUCUGGUCUGAGAGGUUGUCCCAGCCAACAGAAGCGAUUUCUUAGUGUCUACAAAUCAACUUUCCAUCUCUGCAGCUUUUGUUACAUUCUGUUGAAUGUGGAUUGAGGUUCAAAAGAUAGGACUUCCAAGCUCCCUUGAUCUUGAAAUGGCCGUUUCUUACACGUUUACCAGUAAAAUGUAAUUAAUAUUCCAGAUAUUUAUUGAAAAUGGAGAUCAAGGAAUCAGAGAGGGUGGUUAUAGCUAAACCAGUAGCUUCCAGGCCUAGUUGCUCCAAGUUUAGAUCUUUCUCAGAGUUGCUUGCGGGUGCCAUCAAUACUUCACCCUCUACUGAUUGUUCUGAAAUGGCAGUUGCUGCCAUUAGACCAAAAACUUUGAGGUUUAGGCCAACGGUGAAUCGUGCUCCAGGUGCAUUGGUUUCUUCCCAGGUUGAACUCUCUGGAACAACACUUAGCAAUUCAUCUAAUAGAGUUUCAAGUACUGAUAGCAAAACCACUGUCAUAUAUAAACCACAGGCAAAGUUUGUGUCGAAGGCAACUGUUUCUCUACUGGCGAGUAUGGGGAACUUCAAUACCAAUUCACAGCAAAUGCUACAAUCAGUUGAGGCUCGCCCUCAGUGUCCAAAACAAAAUAAACAAAAUUUCUCAUCCCAUCUAACCUCAAAUCUUCAUCAGAAUAUUCCAUCCCAUGCAGUAUUGUUGACAUCUCAGAAUCAGGAGGAUCCAAAAGCUUUAUCACAUGCAUCUAACGGGGACAGGGCUUCAUAUGAUGGUUAUAAUUGGAGGAAAUAUGGGCAAAAGCAAGUAAAAGGAAGUGAAUAUCCGAGGAGUUACUACAAGUGCACCUAUCCAAAUUGUCCGGUGAAAAAGAAGGUCGAAAGAUCAUUUGAUGGGCAAAUUGCAGAAAUUGUCUACAAAGGGGAACACAACCAUUCAAAGCCUCAGCCUCCUAAGCGCAACUCAUUAGGAACACAAGGAUUAGGAGCUGUAUCUGAUAGCAAUGCUCAAGAUAGGUACACCACUCCCUUAUGGAGUAAUCAACUCAUUGAAAGAAAUGAAGGCUCUGAAGGUAGAGAGGAAAAUCAGGUCGAAACAGGAUUACAGGUGCAUUCAAUUUACCAGGGUAAACCUCCGCCAUCUUGUGAUCGUGCUGGAACUGGAUCAAUUAAUGCUGGUGCGGGAACUUCUGAUAACUCAUGUGGUCUCAAUGGGGAAUGUAAUGAUGGAAGCAAGGGAUUGGAGGGAGACGAUGAUGAACCUAGAAAUAAAAGAAGGAAAGCUGGGAUACAAUCCAAUAAAGGUGGCAUAUCAGGGGAGGGCGUUCAGGAGCCCCGUGUAGUGGUGCAAAGUUCCACAGAUUCUGAGAUUUUGGGGGAUGGUUUUCGCUGGAGAAAAUAUGGGCAGAAGAUUGUAAGGGGGAAUCCAUAUCCCAGGAGUUACUAUAGAUGUACUAGUCUCAAAUGCAAUGUGCGCAAGCAUGUGGAAAGAGCAUCAGACGAUCCAAAAGCUUUUAUUACAACAUAUGAAGGAAAACAUAACCAUGAGAUGCCUCUGAAGAGUACAAAUAUACAGCCUUUGAACCCUGAUCUACAGGCACCUCCUAGUAGAGACAAGCUGUGAUCUCAACCAUGGAUGGGCGAAAUCUCGAUGCUUGUUCUGUCCCAGAUAUCAAAAAGAGUUCAGCGCACAAGAAGCUAAAUAACACGAGCAAAUAGACAAUAAAAAACAAGAACAUAGCAGUUUCAGUUCUGGAGGCUUCUUCGUGGUGCUGGUUUUGUGUUGGUGACGAGGAUUAAUAUCGAAAUGGCUGUCUCGUUUUCAUUAUCCUUGCUGGCCUAUCUUAAGCUUACGAACCUACAAAGAAUAUGCUAAAGCUGAAUAGGAUGUGAAGAUGUAGUAUUGGAUUAUAGUACAGCAGUUCUUAAGCACACGCCAACAAUGAAAUGUUGCUGCCAUGGAAUUACUGAAAGAAAAGAACUGAUUCUUUUCCUUAGCCACUGUCUAGCUAGCUGGGGCACAAAUUAAACACUCUUGCAUUGCAGAGAGCUACGAGCAUUGUUACCCUACAAUGGCGGGCUACGCUUCAUCUUUUCAAGCUCCACUAUGAGGUCUCUCCCGAUCUGGAUUUUUUUUUCUGCAACUCAGGCUCAGCGACUAUAACUCUGUUCACUCUAUCUUGAAGUUUUAAGAGCAGAGAUGGGGAAACAAAGAGCUCUAGAUUUUUUUUUUUAAGAAAUUAGAUGUUGAUCUCCUAGAUAGCAAUGUAUUAAUUUGUUGUAACUUCUACUCCAAACAUAACAACUCCUCCUCGAAAUCUUGAUGAAAUAACUCUUGAAUUUGAGGAACUCGAUGAAUGUCCAUCUAAAAAUCAAAAAAUUCAUCCUGGAAAAAUGAAUGUUACUUCUUUGGAA